This 253-nucleotide ribosomal RNA is filed under the name uncultured bacterium. RNAcentral's name for it is "partial 16S ribosomal RNA". It matches the Rfam family "Bacterial small subunit ribosomal RNA", at positions 524 to 776 of the family's 1533-position model. The record is from RNAcentral.
UACAGAGGUCCCAAGCGUUGUUCGGAUUUACUGGGCGUAAAGGGUGCGUAGGUGGUUGGGUAAGUUUGAUGUGAAAUCUCCGGGCUUAACCCGGAAAUGGCAUUGAAUACUAUUCGGCUAGAGGUUUGGAGGGGGGACUGGAAUUCUUGGUGUAGCAGUGAAAUGCGUAGAUAUCAAGAGGAACACCAGUGGCGAAGGCGGCAUCCUGGACCGACACUGACGCUGAGGCGCGAAAGCUAGGGGAGCGAACGGG